RNAcentral lists this ribosomal RNA (254 nucleotides) under uncultured bacterium. RNAcentral describes it as "partial 16S ribosomal RNA". It matches the Rfam family "Bacterial small subunit ribosomal RNA", at positions 524 to 776 of the family's 1533-position model. The record is from RNAcentral.
UACGGGGGGUGCGAGCGUUGUCCGGAAUCACUGGGCGUAAAGGGCGCGUAGGCGGCCAGCACAAGUCAGUUGUGAAAUCUCCGAGCUUAACUCGGAAAGGUCAACUGAUACUGUGCGGCUAGAGUGCAGAAGGGGCAACUGGAAUUCUCGGUGUAGCGGUGAAAUGCGUAGAUAUCUGGAGGAACACCGGUGGCGAAGGCGACGUCCUGGACCGGCAUUGACGCUGAGGCGCGAAAGCCAGGGGAGCAAACGGG